Long non-coding RNA from Thalassophryne amazonica, 1047 nucleotides. RefSeq lists it as uncharacterized. The record is from RefSeq and is a predicted model, not a curated record. The transcript has 3 exons. Lineage: Eukaryota; Metazoa; Chordata; Actinopteri; Batrachoidiformes; Batrachoididae.
AUUUGAAAUGACUUUAGUUUUGUGUCAUGUCUGAGAUCUGCUUUUUUUCUACAAAAUUAAACAACUGAAUGAACAUCCUCCGAGGCCGGUGAUUCCAUAAUUUUUGCCAGGGGUUGUAAUGUGAAUAUUGUCAAUCUAACCUUGUUAUAAUGGACUGCAAUGCUAUUUUUAUAGUAGUGCUGCUGGGAUUUAAUACACAGAUUGCUCUGUUAAAUUUGGACGGUUUGUUGUUUUGUGAUUCCUGCUGGUUGCUAAUGAAACCCUGCUGGAAGCACUGAAGUUUGCACGUUGUUUAUGAGGAGCACCCAGCAGAAUGACUGCACUCGUCUGUCAUCACCAACAAAAUCUCCUCUUUACCGCUCAAUCAGACCACGCCUUCCAGUUCUGAUCAGCACCUGCCACCUUCUGUUUCUGUUCAUAAAACAUCUCCAUAACUGAUGGCAUAAAAAAACAAGACAGGAAUUCAUGUAAACACAUGAAUCAGAAAUGUUGCUUGCAUUUUACAAGUCUAUGUAAAAGAGGUCAAAAUAUACAAAGAGUCCACAUUUUCGUGAAUUCUUUUUCACAAAAAUCUUUGCAUUUUGCCCUCUCAAAAUAUUUGACAUUUUUCAUCUUCAGGCCAUUCAAAAUAAAUAAAUAAUCUGCUCAUAGCUAAAGAAGCUACAAGUGGAACAGAAAUGUAAAAGGUGGCUUACAUAUAAUGAAGCAUAGAUGCGGGUUUUAAAUAUAAAUAUUAUAUAUUCUUCCACGUGAAACUGGUGUUUCAGUGUCUUGCCUGAUUUUGUUUACUUUGGUGCAACAAGACUGUUCACAAUCAUCGUCUGGUCACUUUUGUAACUGUCAACUAUUAGGGAGAAAUUAUUUAUUCUGUCACCCUGACACUUACUGCUUUGUUCUUACUUAUGUGGGAUUUUUGAAGAACACUAAAAAAAUCUGAUUUUGUUGAUUUUUAAAUACACACCACACCUUCAGAUCACUGUGUAUGAAUGUCGAUACUGUUCAGUACAUAUCCCUUUUUAAAAACCUAUAAUUUUUUUCUAAAGUGAG